GCCUUGUUAGCUUGGUUGCUAGCGCGUCUGCCUUGUAAGCGCUAGGCCGCAGGUUCGAUUCCUGCCCGGGGCG
RNAcentral lists this transfer RNA (73 nucleotides) under Diaphorina citri (Asian citrus psyllid). It matches the Rfam family "tRNA". From Rfam's summary of the family: Transfer RNA (tRNA) molecules are approximately 80 nucleotides in length. The record is from Rfam by way of RNAcentral. Lineage: Eukaryota; Metazoa; Arthropoda; Insecta; Hemiptera; Psyllidae.